Frieseomelitta varia is the source of this 313-nucleotide long non-coding RNA. RefSeq lists it as uncharacterized. The record is from RefSeq and is a predicted model, not a curated record. The transcript has 3 exons. Lineage: Eukaryota; Metazoa; Arthropoda; Insecta; Hymenoptera; Apidae.
GUUAGACGAGACAAGUUCAGAGUUCUUAUCGCUGUGUAGUUAAAAACACACCUUUGAAUACUCUCACACCAGAAGAUACACUCGACCACGUACGAGCAGUACAGCCACGAAUGAUUAUCGUUCGUUCGAAUGACGAUGAUGAUGACCGAUGAUGACGAUUCAUUUGGACACAAAUUUUCACUUCGCGACACUAGAACUACCAACGACCGAGGCACAGAAUUUGAGCAUCAUCAGAGUGACGUGGAAAUUGAUAGUUUAUCAGAAGACAGUUAGACUUCCAAAAAUGGCAAAUUUGCAAAACCUGUUGUACACG